CAACUGACGAAUGCAUUACCUUUUUUGUUUUGUUUCGCUUGUUUAAUAGACUCUGUGCUGCAGAGGAAUUAACCCCCACAACACGGAGAAAAUAACACUGCGAAAAAAACCAUUUGUGAGGACCACAAAUAAUAAAGUGACUAGGGGUCCCCAAGUCCCUAGUCACUCCCCCCCCAAUAAAAAUACCUACCUACCCCCCUCAUCCUAAUAAUAGUGAAGGGGGGCAAUAAAC
This is a non-coding RNA of Pelobates cultripes (western spadefoot toad), 232 nucleotides long. NCBI's taxonomy places the organism in Eukaryota, Metazoa, Chordata, Amphibia, Anura, Pelobatidae. The record is from the annotation of a GenBank genome assembly.